AGACAACUUUCUCCUUUACCUCUUCGGUAAUACGUUUCCCUCUCAUACCCUUUUCUCCAAAAUAUUGUUUCCAAACAUAAAAACCUUUUCUUUCUACAUGAUUCUUCAAGUAAAAAAAACCCUAGAUCUAACUAUAUUUUCAUUGCUGAUUGCCGAUGGCGAUGCUUAUCUCAAACAAUUAAUCUGCAGAUUUCUUUCAUAUAUUGCUUCUUGAAGUCGGUAAUUUUGUGCCCUGAAUCCAUAUUCAUGUUAAAUCAAGUGUUUAUUUGCUUAGAUGUUAUGAAAUUAAAACGAUUUGGUUUUUGUUUAUGUUCGAUAAUCAUUAUUAUUCUAGAGAUUUAAAACCCUAACUGUAUUUUAGGUUCCGAUUGACAGUUUCAGUCUCCAGCGAGGUUUCCGGCUAGCUCUGGUGAGGGGGUGCCUGGAUUGAAGGAGUGUCUUUUUUUGUGUUAUGAUAUAUUAUUUUUUAUGUUUUGUUUUUCAGUAGUCAUUUUGUGGGUAUAUCACCAAUAGAUGGAUGGAAUAUGUACAUGAAUCUGGAAAAGGAUGGACAGUCGCUUUUUAGUUUUAUUCCCAUGUUCUUAAAUUCCAAAAUGGAGUCCAGGGGGAUUUAGGGGGAUUUGAAUAUAUACUGUAGACAAUCAAUAAAGUAGUUAUCUCUAAUUUCUAAAGAGAUUUGGCUCACCACCUUGAAGUUGGAAGUUCCACUAAUUAACAUCACAGUCACAUUUAGCAGUGGAGGGAAGGAUUCCAAUAGUGGCGAUGUCGUCGAACAGAGGAAUCCAUAUGCAAAAUGUAGAAUGCAUCUUUUGCAACGACGGGUUAUCUAUUAAUUAUCGGCAGGUUUGCGGAAGGAGUAUGGUAACACAUAAAAAAGUUUGAUGAAUAUACCCUUGGGCCAAAACAGUGAUACAAUUUGUGAAAAAAAUGAGUAUGAACGACUUGGAUUUUUCAGCGGCUUGGAGAAGAUUGAUUCAUGCAGUCUAUGCUUUAACGAUGUCGAGAAUAUGGGAAACAAGAAAUGGGAAAGUGUUCAAAGCACGCUUACAUGAGAAGUCAUUUGUUCUUGAGGUCAAAACAUGAUAUAUGAAAUCACCUGCACUUGCAGCCAAACAUGAUGUUGUAGUGGCUGGAACAAAUAUUGGGGGGCCUGAGAAGUGAUUUCUGAUGUCUAAUUCUUAUAUUGAUAUGGAUUAGAGCAAGCACAUUUUUACUAUUUAAAAUAUGGUAUGACCAUUGUUAUAUUCCUAUAUGCUAUAUUUUUUACCAAAAUUUUCGCGUACCAUGGUACAAGCAAAGUUAUUAAAACCAAGUUUUUUUAAGAAUUUUUUAAAAUGUUCAUUUGGAACGUACCAAUGGGAGUGUUUCGAGUUUGACAAAUUCACAGUUGGAACUGAGGUGUGUAACAUCUAUCUCAUUCAACUUUCUAUCUCUCAAUCACAUUUAAAAUUACAAAUGAUGAAACCAUACAUUUGAUUGCGAAUUGCAGGAAACUGGAAAGAAGCUAGCUGAACUCAGUGGAAAGGGGGUAACACCAACUAUCUCAUUCAACUUUUUUAGACAUGUUGAUAGGUUUUCAUUUUGUAGAAACGGGUCAGGCCGGGUUAGGAGUUACAAAUGAAAGUUUUAGUUUCUUUAAAAUGGCUUUAUAUAUUUAUCUAAUUUGUACUUAAAUUGUUCUUUAAAUUAGCAUUAGAGAUGAGUUAAGAGGGGAAGAAAUUCA
This is a long non-coding RNA of Helianthus annuus (common sunflower), 1723 nucleotides long. RefSeq lists it as uncharacterized. The transcript has 4 exons. The record is from RefSeq and is a predicted model, not a curated record. Lineage: Eukaryota; Viridiplantae; Streptophyta; Magnoliopsida; Asterales; Asteraceae.